UGUAAAGCCACCACAGGUGUGUAAAGUCACCACAGGUGUGUAAGGCCACCACAGGUGUGUGAGGCAACCACUAGAGGUGUGUAAAGCCACCACAGGUGUGUAAACCACCACAGGUGUGUGAGGCAACCACUAGAGGUGUGUAAAGCCACCACAGGUGUGUAAGGCCACCACAGGUGCGUGAGGCAACCACUAGAGGUGUGUAAAGCCACCACAGGUGUGUAAAGCCACCACAGGUGUGUAAAGUCACCACAGGUGUGUAAGGCCACCACAGGUGUGUGAGGCAACCACUAGAGGUGUGUAAAGCCACCACAGGUGUGUAAGCCACCACAGGUGUGUGAGGCAACCACUAGAGGUGUGUAAAGCCACCACAGGUGUGUAAGCCACCACAGGUGUCUAAGGCCACCACAGUUGUGUAAAGCUACCACAGGUAUGUGAGGCUACCACAGGUGUGUAAUGCCACCACAGGUGUGUAAAGCCACCACAGGUGUGUAAAGCUACCACAGGUGUGUAAAGUCACCACAGGUGUGUUCAGAGACCACAGCUCACAGCCCCUCUUCUUCUCCCUGCUGUCAGAGCACAAACUCUAUAUUACUCUUUUCUAGUCUUUCACUCUUUCACUGUGUAAGGCUAAAACAAAAGACAACAGUGUGAAUUAGUAAUUCGUCCUGUGAAGUUUAAGCUCCCUGAGGAGCUGGCUUUUGAGAGAGACCCCAUUACAGACCCAAGCAUGAUUAUCUCCAAGAUGCCUUGUCAAGGAUGGGCUAGCCCACAACCCUCUGAGAAAGGAAGCAGAAAACAGCAAAAAAUCCAAAGUAAAGAUUCCAUGCCUUCAGAGCAGAAGGAAAGUACAUCAUUAGUGUGAAAAUGCUGGUUUUGACCAGAGCCGGGAGCUGUGAACAUUCCUAGACAACUCCCUAAAGCAAAAGAUUCAGCCAUACUUGAUCUCAUGGAAUUAGAACGCCUGUGGUGGGGGGCUGGAGAGAUGACUCGCUGCUUAGGAGUGAGUGUACAGUGUCUUGUGUAGUUCAGUUCCCAGCACCCAGGCUGGGUGGUUCAUGACUACCUGUAACUCCAGCCCCAGGGAAUUGGUUGCUCUCUUCUCAUCUCCAAGAGGACCCCCACACACAUGGCAGAAACACA
RNAcentral lists this long non-coding RNA (1140 nucleotides) under Cricetulus griseus (Chinese hamster). RNAcentral describes it as "lncRNA (ENSCGRG00015034596.1)". The record is from RNAcentral. Lineage: Eukaryota; Metazoa; Chordata; Mammalia; Rodentia; Cricetidae.